RNAcentral lists this ribosomal RNA (389 nucleotides) under Enterococcus faecium. RNAcentral describes it as "bacterial SSU rRNA". It matches the Rfam family "Bacterial small subunit ribosomal RNA", at positions 1033 to 1423 of the family's 1533-position model. Lineage: Bacteria; Bacillati; Bacillota; Bacilli; Lactobacillales; Enterococcaceae. The record is from RNAcentral.
GACAGGUGGUGCAUGGUUGUCGUCAGCUCGUGUCGUGAGAUGUUGGGUUAAGUCCCGCAACGAGCGCAACCCUUAUUGUUAGUUGCCAUCAUUCAGUUGGGCACUCUAGCAAGACUGCCGGUGACAAACCGGAGGAAGGUGGGGAUGACGUCAAAUCAUCAUGCCCCUUAUGACCUGGGCUACACACGUGCUACAAUGGGAAGUACAACGAGUUGCGAAGUCGCGAGGCUAAGCUAAUCUCUUAAAGCUUCUCUCAGUUCGGAUUGCAGGCUGCAACUCGCCUGCAUGAAGCCGGAAUCGCUAGUAAUCGCGGAUCAGCACGCCGCGGUGAAUACGUUCCCGGGCCUUGUACACACCGCCCGUCACACCACGAGAGUUUGUAACACCCG